RNAcentral lists this ribosomal RNA (429 nucleotides) under uncultured bacterium. RNAcentral's name for it is "bacterial SSU rRNA". It matches the Rfam family "Bacterial small subunit ribosomal RNA", at positions 355 to 776 of the family's 1533-position model. The record is from RNAcentral.
UGGGGAAUAUUGGACAAUGGGCGCAAGCCUGAUCCAGCAAUGCCGCGUGUGUGAAGAAGGCCUGCGGGUUGUAAAGCACUUUCAGUGGGGAGAAAGGAAUUUGCAUUAAUACUGCAGAGGACAGAUGUUACCCACAGAAGAAGCACCGGCUAACUCUGUGCCAGCAGCCGCGGUAAUACAGAGGGUGCGAGCGUUAAUCGGAAUUACUGGGCGUAAAGGGUGCGUAGGUGGUUAGAUUAGUUAGGUGUGAAAUUCCCGAGCUUAACUUGGGGACUGCGCCUGAUACUGUUUGACUAGAGUACUGUAGAGGGAAGUGGAAUUUCCGGUGUAGCGGUGAAAUGCGUAGAUAUCGGAAGGAACAUCAGUGGCGAAGGCGACUUCCUGGACAGAUACUGACACUGAGGCACGAAAGCGUGGGGAGCAAACAGG